Molecule: ribosomal RNA, 742 nt
Filed under: Spermophagus takuensis
Lineage: Eukaryota; Metazoa; Arthropoda; Insecta; Coleoptera; Chrysomelidae
Description: eukaryotic LSU rRNA
Rfam family: Eukaryotic large subunit ribosomal RNA
Source: RNAcentral
GCCCAGCACCGAAUCCCGCGUUCGAUAUCGGGCGCCGGGAAAUGUGGUGUUAGGGAGGAUCCGUUUAUCCCGAGGUCCGGCGGCGAGUCCAAGUCCUUCUUGAACGGGGCCACAGCCCAUAGAGGGUGCCAGGCCCGUAGCGGCCGCUGCCGAUCGCGGGAGGAUCUCUCCUUAGAGUCGGGUUGCUUGAGAGUGCAGCCCUAAGUGGGUGGUAAACUCCAUCUAAGGCUAAAUAUGACCACGAGACCGAUAGCGAACAAGUACCGUGAGGGAAAGUUGAAAAGCACUUUGAAGAGAGAGUUCAAGAGUACGUGAAACCGUUCAGGGGUAAACCUGAGAAACCCGAAAGGUCGAAAGGGGAAAUUCAUUCGCGUUUCGGUCGUCGAUGACGGGCGUUCGCGUGACGGACGGGUGCGUUCGCGCGCGUUUCGUCCGCAUCCUUCGCUCGUCCGAAUCGGCGUCGAACGCGUGCACUUUUCCCCUAGUAGGACGUCGCGAUCCGUUGGGUGUCGGAUUACGGUUCGCGGUGGAGCCCGCGCGCGUCGUUUCUUUAUAGUACACGCGCGCGGACCCGCGAUAUCCUAUCCGGCUCGCUCGACGGUAUAUAGAUGGCGCGGGGCCGCUACACAUAUCAGUUAGCGUCCGACCCGUGGCAAGCGCGUUCGGUGUCUAAGACGGCGAUCGGACUUUGUGCCGAUUCCGUCCUCGGACGACUGUUGGCCACGAGGACAUCUCGGACAGA